UCGUUUAAUUCCAGUUGAUCCUGCUGGAGGAUGCUGCUAUUUGGUUCGGGCUUAGGCAUGCAAGUUAUUUCUUUUGAUUUAUCAUUAGGAAGGCGAACUGCUUAGUAACACGUAGUUAAUCUGCCCUUAGGUGAAGGAUAAGCACGGGAAACUGUGUCUAAUACUUCAUACGAGUUUAUUGCUGGAAUGCUUUUACUCUGAAACAUUAGGCCUAAGGAUGAGACUGCGGUUGAUUAGCUUGUUGGUGGGGUAACUGCCUACCAAGGCGAUGAUCAAUAGGGGCUCUUAGCGGAGUAGCCCCAAGAAGGAAUCUGAGACACUAUUCCUAGCUCUACGGAGUGCAGCAGCUGCGAAUUUUUUACAAUGCACGCAAGUGUGAUAAAGCGAGCCAAAGUGCUUAACAUUUUAUGUUAAGCUUUUCUUCAGUUUAAAACACUGGAGGAAUAAGGACUGGGAAAGAUCGGUGCCAGCCGCCGCGGUAAUACCGACAGUUCAAGUUGCAUCCACUUUUAUUGGGUCUAAAACAUCCGUAGCUUGUUAACUCAGUCUCUUGUGAAAUCUCACGUCUCAAGCGUGAGGCUUGCAGGAGAUACUAGUUAGCUAGAGACCGGUAGGCGUAAGAAGUACGGGCAAGGUAGUGGUUAAAUACGUUAAUCUUGCUUGGACUAACAAUUUAGCGAAGGCAUCUUACGAGGACGGAUCUGACAGUGAGGGAUGAAGGCCAGGGGCGCAAAACGGAUUAGAUACCCGUGUAGUCCUGGCAGUAAACACUGCUCACUAAACAUCGGGCCCUCUUAGGGAGGAUUCGGUGCUGAAGGGAAGCCGAAGAGUGAGCUACCUGGGAAGUAUAGUCGCAAGGUCGAAACUUAAAGGAAUUGGCGGGGAGACAUACAACGAGUGACGCGUGCGGUUCAAUUAGAUUUUACACCGUGAACCUCACCAGGAGCGACAGCAGGAUGAAGGUCAGUCUAAAGGGCUUACCU
This 983-nucleotide ribosomal RNA is filed under the name archaeon. Its description in RNAcentral is "bacterial SSU rRNA". It matches the Rfam family "Archaeal small subunit ribosomal RNA", at positions 1 to 973 of the family's 1478-position model. The record is from RNAcentral.